GCAACCUGCCUCACAGAGGGGGAUAGGCUCUCGAAAGGGAGAUUAAUACCGCAUAAUGAGCAUAGUUCACAUGAGCGAUGCUUUAAAGGGUACAUUUUUGAAAGGGGAUGUAUCCGCUGUGAGAUGGGCCCGCGGCGCAUUAGCUAGUUGGUGAGGUAACGGCUCACCAAGGCGACGAUGCGUAGCCGACCUGAGAGGGUGAACGGCCACAUUGGAACUGAGAGACGGUCCAGACUCCUACGGGAGGCAGCAGUGGGGAAUAUUGCACAAUGGGCAAAAGCCUGAUGCAGCAACGCCGCGUGAGUGAAGAAGGUUUUCGGAUUGUAAAGCUCUGUCUUCGGGGACGAUAAUGACGGUACCCGGGGAGGAAGCCACGGCUAACUACGUGCCAGCAGCCGCGGUAAUACGUAGGUGGCGAGCGUUGUCCGGAUUUACUGGGUGUAAAGGAUGCGUAGGCGGAUGUUCAAGUCAGAUGUGAAAUACCCGGGCUCAACCCGGGAAUUGCAUUUGAAACUGGGUAUCUGGAGUGCAGGAGAGGUGAGCGGAAUUCCUAGCGUAGCUGUGAAAUGCGUAGAGAUUAGGAAGAACACCGGUGGCGAAGGCGGCUCACUGGACUGUAACUGACGCUGAGGCAUGAAAGCGUGGGUAGCAAACAGGAUUAGAUACCCUGGUAGUCCACGCUGUAAACGAUGAAUAUUAGGUGUGGGAGGUAUCGACUCCUUCCGUGCCGUCGUAAACACAUUAAGUAUUCCGCCUGGGGAGUACGGUCGCAAGAUUAAAACUCAA
RNAcentral lists this ribosomal RNA (786 nucleotides) under uncultured bacterium. RNAcentral describes it as "bacterial SSU rRNA". It matches the Rfam family "Bacterial small subunit ribosomal RNA", at positions 121 to 904 of the family's 1533-position model. The record is from RNAcentral.